AAAAAGAUAAGCUAAAAAAGCUUAAAGACUCAUAAUCUUUAAAUAGAAAUUCUAAUUUUCUUCUUUUUA
Molecule: transfer RNA, 69 nt
Filed under: Phylloecus linearis
Lineage: Eukaryota; Metazoa; Arthropoda; Insecta; Hymenoptera; Cephidae
Description: tRNA-Met
Rfam family: tRNA
About the family: Transfer RNA (tRNA) molecules are approximately 80 nucleotides in length. Their secondary structure includes four short double-helical elements and three loops (D, anti-codon, and T loops).
Source: RNAcentral